Molecule: ribosomal RNA, 632 nt
Filed under: Nocardioides sp. YIM 75417
Lineage: Bacteria; Bacillati; Actinomycetota; Actinomycetes; Propionibacteriales; Nocardioidaceae
Description: bacterial SSU rRNA
Rfam family: Bacterial small subunit ribosomal RNA
Source: RNAcentral
GAGCGGAAGGCCCUUCGGGGUACUCGAGCGGCGAACGGGUGAGUAACACGUGAGUAAUCUGCCCCAGGCUCUGGGAUAGCCACCGGAAACGGUGAUUAAUACCGGAUACGACAACUUCCUGCAUGGGAUGGUUGUGGAAAGUUUUUCGGCCUGGGAUGUGCUCGCGGCCUAUCAGCUUGUUGGUGAGGUAAUGGCUCACCAAGGCUUCGACGGGUAGCCGGCCUGAGAGGGUGACCGGCCACACUGGGACUGAGACACGGCCCAGACUCCUACGGGAGGCAGCAGUGGGGAAUAUUGGACAAUGGGCGGAAGCCUGAUCCAGCAACGCCGCGUGAGGGAUGACGGCCUUCGGGUUGUAAACCUCUUUCAGCACAGACGAAGCGCAAGUGACGGUAUGUGCAGAAGAAGGACCGGCCAACUACGUGCCAGCAGCCGCGGUAAUACGUAGGGUCCGAGCGUUGUCCGGAAUUAUUGGGCGUAAAGGGCUCGUAGGCGGUCUGUCGCGUCGGGAGUGAAAACCAGGUGCUUAACACCUGGCCUGCUUUCGAUACGGGCAGACUAGAGGUACUCAGGGGAGAAUGGAAUUCCUGGUGUAGCGGUGAAAUGCGCAGAUAUCAGGAGGAACACCGGUG